Molecule: unclassified non-coding RNA, 1608 nt
Filed under: Chelonus insularis
Lineage: Eukaryota; Metazoa; Arthropoda; Insecta; Hymenoptera; Braconidae
Description: glycerol kinase, transcript variant X1
Source: RNAcentral
ACAUUUAAAAGUAUGUAACAUGAUUCGUUUGUUUUUCAUGAUGGCUGGAAACGCUAAAAAACCUAUUUACAUUGGAGCUAUUGAUGAAGGAACUAGUAGUGCUAGAUUUGUGAUAUUCGAUGUUAUUAAGAAGAAAGUAAUUACUUUUCAUCAAAUAGAAAUUAAACAGAAAUAUCCUCGAGAAGGAUGGGUUGAACAAGAUCCAAAAGAAAUUUUAAAUGCUGUUUUGGAGUGUAUUGCAAAAGUCGUAGAAAAACUUGAAAAACUUGAAAUUUCUGUGUCUGAUAUUAAAGCUGUUGGUAUUACAAAUCAAAGGGAAACCACAGUUAUAUGGGAUAGAAAAACUGGAGAACCACUUCAUAAUGCAAUAGUUUGGCUUGAUAUGAGAACAACAACAACUUUAGAUGAUAUUUUGGAUACUAUUCCAAAUAAAUCACGAAAUAAAAAUUAUCUUAAACCACUUUGUGGUCUCCCUUUAUCACCAUAUUUUAGUGCUUUAAAAAUACGAUGGCUUAUGGAUAAUGUUCCUCGGAUUGAUCGUGCGGUAGAAGCUGGAACAUGUGCUUUCGGAACAAUAGAUACUUGGCUUCUUUUUAACCUUACAAAAGGUCAAUUGCAUAUAACAGAUGUUUCAAAUGCAUCAAGGACAAUGCUAAUGAAUAUCGAAACUCUUAGAUGGGACAGACCAUUACUCCGUUUCUUCCAAAUUCCUGAUUCAAUUCUACCUGAAAUAAAAUCUAGUGCUGAAAUUUAUGGAUAUAUAUCCAAUCCUCCUUCACUUGCAGGCAUUCCUAUAUCAGGGUGUGUUGGUGAUCAACAAGGCGCUCUUCUUGGUCAAUUAUGUUUAAAACCAGGUCAAGCGAAGGCAACUUAUGGAACUGGAUGUUUUCUUCUUUGUAAUACAGGCAAUGUAAAAGUAGACUCCACACAAGGAUUAAUAACGACAGUAGCAUAUAAACUAGGCCGUUCUGCACCAAUUUAUGCUCUUGAAGGAUCUGUAGCUAUUGCAGGAGCUGCUCUCACUUGGCUUAGAGAUAAUUUACAGAUUUUGAGUUCCAUUUCUCAAACUCAAGAGAUCGCUGGAAAUGUUUCUGACACGUCCGACGUUUAUUUUGUUCCUGCAUUUUCUGGACUUUAUGCUCCAUAUUGGCACCAAGAUGCUCGAGGAGUCAUUUGUGGUAUUAAUGAAGACACUGAUUACCGUCAUAUCAUCAGAGCAUCAUUAGAAGCAGUUUGUUUCCAAGUUCGUGAUAUUUUAGAAGCUAUGGUUAUGGAUUCAAAGACAAAACUCAAUACAUUGCUCGUUGAUGGUGGAAUGACUAAGAACAAUCUUCUCUUGCAACUUCAGGCUGACUUAACUGGUGUUAGAGUUGACCAUACAUGGUUGAAUCUACUGCACUUGGAGCUGCAAUUUUAGCUGGAGUUGGAGCGGGAUUACUUGAUAUAGCAGAUAUCGAAGCUCCACAAACCGCAAAUUUUACUCCACAAAUUAGUGAUGAUGAACGAGACUUGAGAUACUCAAAAUGGAAAUUAGCUGUAGAAAAAUCGAUGAAAUGGGAUCUUAAAUCUAGUAGUAUUGAUUAAUUUCGUACUAUUGUAGAAAAAAAG